Procambarus clarkii (red swamp crayfish) is the source of this 165-nucleotide non-coding RNA. Lineage: Eukaryota; Metazoa; Arthropoda; Malacostraca; Decapoda; Cambaridae. The record is from RefSeq and is a predicted model, not a curated record.
ACACUGGGCCAGUUGUUCUCAGGAGAGUCUGUAAGCCUGGCGCAGGUAACCUCAUGCACACGACUGUCCAGGUGACUAAUUUAGUAAAACCAAUGAGGCGGGCGCUGAGCAGCACCUCUCCCCACGCCGGCCCGCGCCACACUGCCCGCCGCGCCUCUUGACUAG